UCCCACUGCCACACAGAGAGAACUCACAACACGUAAGUCAAUGCCCGGCACAUGGAGGCGAUGGAUAAAUGAUAAAGUCCUACUGAGGGGCAGCCCAGCACACCUCACAUACCGGGCACCCUAUACACAGACACACAGGUUCCAGUUAUGUGAUCAGCCACACAUAGGGCCACCAAGCUGCCCUGCCUUCUAUCUACCCAAAUGGUUUUCUCGGCACGCCUGAAGCAAGCAAGCAGGCUGGCCCCCCAGCACUGCAGCCCGGCCCCUUCCAGCCCUGGUUCAGCCUGGCAGAUGGAGGGUACUCACCCAGCGAAGUCCCUGGAUGCAGCUGGGCCGCCUGUGCUCGAACACCAGCUGGUAGGAGCAGCACCGGGGACGGUGCAUUCUCUUCAGCACCAUCUCGAGCAGCGUGCCCUCCGGGACCACGUCAGGGAGACUUGCCACCUGCGGUGUCCCCACCGCUGGACUCUCCACCACAGCUGGGCCCACCUGCCAGUGGUUCUCACCUGGCCAGCUGACCUGUGAUGUGAGGAGAAAAGUCGACAGCCGUCGGCUGGAGGAGCUGAACCUCCACACUACCAACCAACCCCAGGCUUAGCGUCCUCUGGACUUGGACGGGUCAGGCGGAGCUCACACAGCGGUGCACGCUCUAGCGAGAGGUUGUGGAGGAUCCCUGGCGCGCUCCAGCACAGCUCUGCCCGGGAAUCCUGGAGGGCUGUCGGUGCCACCCGGGCUGCAGCGAAGGGCCAGUUCCCAGCAGGACAGGUAGUCCGGAGUAGCAAGCUGCCGGGCUAGGCAGAGGGGCUCGUCCUGGGUGAGUAGAAGGCUGGGGGGGGAAGGGGUUGCUGGGGGGGAACCCCCACCCCUCCCCAAAGACUAAGAGCGUUGAGCCUCCGCCUCCGUCCCAGAUGUAAGAGCCAGCUGGCACAGGGCGUUCAAGCGAAGCUGCAGCUGGCACUGAUCCGGGCGGGAGCUGUCACACCCCCUGCGCUGCCCGCCCCUUCCCCUCCCCGGGACCAGCCGAGGGGGCGGGGAACAGGCACAGGCUUUACGGUAGGGGUGGACAUCGGGGAAGGGGCAGGACCCACAGCUGAUGGAGUCCCUACCCGAGACUAUGUCAGUGGGUUCAGGGCUCCGGACCCGAAACCGGGUGCCUUCGGGUGGAUGCCCCUGUCCUACGCAGCCCGGGUGCGGGGUUAGGGGCCCUGAAGGCUGCACCCGCCGCCACGUGGCGAGUAGGAGAAAUGCAAACAAGGAAACUAGGGAAGGGGGAGGGAGUGAGUCAUGGCCGCCCCACCCGAGAGGGAUAUCCGGGCUGGGGCUGCUUCCUGGCCAGGGGCGUCCGGCCUCCCGUUUGGGUUCAGGGUCUCCGGCAGCUCGGGGUUGGAACUAGGCAGCCUUCCUGUGGGGAAUCCCGCUGCCUGGCUUCCCACCUUUGCCCUCCCGAUCUUGCGGGAUGGGAAGUUGAGGCUGGAGGGGAGGGACCGCAUUCCAGAUGGAGAGAGGGUCGCGUAGAAGCACGCAUCGGCCAGGCUUUGGAUUUGUGGCAGGCUGGACUUUAGAGGGCCACGCCUCUCGCCCCCCAAGUGCUCCCCUAAGCCGGGCUAGGUAAAGGCAGAGGCCCCACGCCCCCUGGGGCUCACUUCCACCGACACACAGAUGGCGGGCACUUCGUCUCAUUCGCGCCUGCUUCCGAGUGGACAGAGAGUGUGACCUGGGACAGCGAUUUCCCUGGCGCCUGGUAAUUGUUCAGGACAUUAAUGAGGGGUUAGAAGAAGGCGCAGGUCCCGCCCCCCAGCGUUCUAGGACUCUGCCCCUCGCCCCUUCUCUUCUCCUUCCCCACUGCCAUUAAAUCUGGGGGAGGGGUGGGGGCUAAAUCCAGUAUUUCCACCCAGAACUGAUUUCUUGAUGUAAGAAUUUUAAUCGUCAUUAAAAACCUGAAUUUUAGAGCGUGUGCGUGUGUGUGUGUGUGUGUGUGUGUGUGUGUCUCAAUAGUUUUUCUCUCCCUGGGUAUAUUAGCAGGUACUUUUUAACUCCUCAAAUCCUGAGUCCAUCUUACUGGCAUGAAGCAGAAAAUCUGUACCUUGGACAAACAUUUUCAGGUCAUCUGUGGUGCCAACCCUUUAAGACACACUUGUGAAAAUUUCCCUGCUCCUCUGAGCAAAGAAGGGAACCUGGGAAGGAGUCCAGCCCACAACUCAAGUUUCUAGAACUUAGAGAACGGCUUGGCUACUUGGCUUUAAAAGAUAGGAAAUGAGUAGCAUUUCGGGGAAAGUGUUGGGGUUUGGGGGUUCGGUGGUGCCAUUCAGGAUGCCUAGAAGGUCUUGCAAAAGAGUUCCCUGAAACUGGAUGUGGAGUAGGAAAUUCCCUUUCCUAUUCCUGUUGCCCCGCUUAGGGCAGGAGGGAAUAGACGCUGAGAGAGGAGGAAAGACACUUGCUUACCUGUUGAUCUAACCAUGUGCCUGGCUCUGCUUCCUCUCCAGUGACAGCCCUGUCCAGGUUGUCUGGCUCUGCUUCACCGCCAGCAUGUCCUGCGUAUGCUCUCUCACCAUGUUGCCAUUCUCUAGACUGCAAUGCCAUGAGCAGAUGAGGAAACUGAGGCUCCAAGAUGUUAAAUAAUGUAUUCAAGGUCUUCUAACUGGAGAGCAAUGGAGCACUGAGUGAUUCUACCCAAGGGGUCACUGAAUCUGUGCAGUCUGACAGAGCUGAGAAUGCCCUGGGCCUUAUGGCUCUGGUGCUCAGAGAGGAACAGACAGAUGAUCUAGGCCUCUUGGCUGACUUUGCACACACUGAGCCCACAGCUUCCUGGAUUGGUGCUGGAGCCUCAAAACUCCACGUGUGCAACGCUCCCUUCCUGCCCCAGGGGGCUCCUCCCCCAGCUUGGGCCUCUCAGUUCUGGAGUCCUGCCACGCCUAAGCAAGAAACCUGUAAGCGUUUAAUUGCAAGUUAGGGAACUGGAGCACAGAGAGGUGAAGAAAUGUGCCCAAGGUUACCCUGAUGGCAAACGGUAGGGCCAUCCUUGGGGGUAUAAUGACAGGCAUGUUCCUGUCUAGUAUUUCUUCAACCGCCUCUCCCACCCCUGAUGGCUACCCCUGCCUCGCCUCCCUCAUCCUUCAGGGUGGUCCCUCAGGGUCAUUCAUAAAAAAUCUCCAAUCCAUUUGACAUUUACCGCAGUUGCCAGGAAUGGUGCUGUAAGACUGGGUAGCAGAUGCCACCCCCAAACACUGGGAACAGGCUGGUGGGCUAGCCAAGUUGAUAGAGCGCUUGCCCAGCAUGCACUGCACAAAGCUCUGGAAUCCAUCACCAGUACCGAAUACAUGAGUUGUGGUACAUGCCUGUAAUCCCAGCACUGGGGAAGUGGAGGAGGCAAGAGAAUAAAGAGUCCAAAGUUGUCAUCAGCUACCUAGCAAGUUCAAGGCCAGCCUGGACUACCAGAGACCCU
Long non-coding RNA from Onychomys torridus (southern grasshopper mouse), 3442 nucleotides. RefSeq lists it as uncharacterized. The record is from RefSeq and is a predicted model, not a curated record. The transcript is spliced from 5 exons. NCBI's taxonomy places the organism in Eukaryota, Metazoa, Chordata, Mammalia, Rodentia, Cricetidae.